CUGGCGGCAGGCCUAAUACAUGCAAGUCGAGCGCGCCCUUCGGGGUGAGCGGCGGACGGGUGAGUAACGCGUGGGAAUAUGCCCUUCUCUAAGGAAUAGCCUCUGGAAACGGAGAGUAAUACCUUAUACGCCCUUCGGGGGAAAGAUUUAUCGGAGAAGGAUUAGCCCGCGUUAGAUUAGGUAGUUGGUGGGGUAAUGGCCUACCAAGCCUACGAUCUAUAGCUGGUUUGAGAGGAUGAUCAGCCACACUGGGACUGAGACACGGCCCAGACUCCUACGGGAGGCAGCAGUAGGGAAUCUUAGACAAUGGGGGAAACCCUGAUCUAGCCAUGCCGCGUGUGUGAUGAAGGCCCUAGGGUCGUAAAGCACUUUCGCCAGAGAUGAUAAUGACAGUAUCUGGUAAAGAAACCCCGGCUAACUCCGUGCCAGCAGCCGCGGUAAUACGGAGGGGGUUAGCGUUGUUCGGAAUUACUGGGCGUAAAGCGCACGUAGGCGGAUUAGUAAGUUAGAGGUGAAAUCCCAGGGCUCAACCCUGGAACUGCCUUUAAUACUGCUAGUCUUGAGUUCGAGAGAGGUAAGUGGAAUUCCGAGUGUAGAGGUGAAAUUCGUAGAUAUUCGGAGGAACACCAGUGGCGAAGGCGGCUUACUGGCUCGAUACUGACGCUGAGGUGCGAAAGUGUGGGGAGCAAACAGGAUUAGAUACCCUGGUAGUCCACACCGUAAACGAUGAAUGCCAGACGUCAGCAAGUAUACUUGUUGGUGUCACACCUAACGGAUUAAGCAUUCCGCCUGG
Molecule: ribosomal RNA, 793 nt
Filed under: uncultured marine bacterium
Lineage: Bacteria
Description: bacterial SSU rRNA
Rfam family: Bacterial small subunit ribosomal RNA
Source: RNAcentral